This 250-nucleotide ribosomal RNA is filed under the name uncultured bacterium. RNAcentral describes it as "partial 16S ribosomal RNA". It matches the Rfam family "Bacterial small subunit ribosomal RNA", at positions 524 to 773 of the family's 1533-position model. RNAcentral also lists the same sequence under 1 other name. The record is from RNAcentral.
UACGUAGGUGGCAAGCGUUGUCCGGAUUUAUUGGGCGUAAAGCGAGUGCAGGCGGCUCGAUAAGUCUGAUGUGAAAGCCUUCGGCUCAACCGGAGAAUUGCAUCAGAAACUGUCGAGCUUGAGUACAGAAGAGGAGAGUGGAACUCCAUGUGUAGCGGUGAAAUGCGUAGAUAUAUGGAAGAACACCGGUGGCGAAGGCGGCUCUCUGGUCUGUUACUGACGCUGAGGCUCGAAAGCAUGGGUAGCGAAC